This is a long non-coding RNA of Bombus huntii, 1311 nucleotides long. RefSeq lists it as uncharacterized. NCBI's taxonomy places the organism in Eukaryota, Metazoa, Arthropoda, Insecta, Hymenoptera, Apidae. The record is from RefSeq and is a predicted model, not a curated record. The transcript has 3 exons.
UGCUCACUAUACAUGUAUUAAUCAAAUAACAUCUAUCUAUAAGAACACAUAAAGGUUAUCAAUGAUAUAAGGAAGAAGUUACAGCGAGAAAUAAAAGAAAAUUUACAUACGUCAUCGUACAUCGAAACAUUACACAAGAAACGAUUGUGCGUAGAAUCUAAAGUUCAAUGUACAGUUCGUUCUAAGAAGACAACGGGAGUGUGGCGAUUUUUCUCUCAUUUUUCUGGCCAGUGCAGUGUUUCGGAAAGGAGAACGUAAUACGUCAAUUUGCACUAAACAAUUUGACGGAGAUUACGACGACAUUUAAACAGUGGUUAUUCGAGCGUUAUUACAUUAACUCGCAUCCUACUUAGGUGGAUUUUUCAACUUCGCGGGUCAUUAAACUUUUGUUGCGAUUAAUUUACUACGAGUAUUCUCCGUUCUCGGAACGAAGCAAUUGCGAAAUACAUCAUUUCAAAGGCGGAUAUUCAAUUUUAUUUGUUUAAUAAUUUCAAAAAAUGUGUUUUUAACGAACUGAAAACUUGACUACCUUUAUUUCUUUUAGCUUCAACUUUCACGUCUAUCUGUCUAUCGUACAUACUUAACAAAGAACUUGGAAAGAGAACAUUCGCAAUAAAUAAAUACUACCGAAACGCAAAACGAUACAAACAAAUUAACGCGGUGGUCGUCAACAAACUUGCCACAAUCAAGCCACUUGCAUAGCCGCGCACCAGGAUAUUAUGAUGCAAGCUGUAUAUCAACUUAAUCGGUGUUAAUAGAGUCACAUUUGCAUCGCAGUAAUCUAUACGCUCUGAACGAACGUUUAAACGUUAGAUUUUUAAGAAAAUUGAGAUUUGUGAUACUUAUCAAUUGCAAGAAAAACGUUGACCCAGAAUGCAAGAUUCCGCAAAUGUAUUUGUUACAUUCUAAAUUAACACCGGGCGAAUUUUCAUAAUUUUGGUGUUUUACAUUGAUUUGUAUAUCAUAAGUGACUUAUCUUCGUGACUACGUUAAUUAAAUACAAUGUUUGUAGACAGUGGUUUAUUUAAGAAUAUAUACGGCGAAAGAUAAAUAGACAUGAAUAUUUAAUGGCGUUCCUUUGUUUUCUGAAUAUAUAAAAACCUGGACGUGUUUAAUAUUUGUACGUAGCAAAUAUCCGCGUUUUAUGAUUGUAGUGUGCGCGUUAAUAGCUGCAGCCACGUGAUAAUUCAUAUUCGGAUCGUAAAAAUGAUAAUAACAGUGAAAGUAUUUUUCUAACGUCUAAUUACGUAUGUGAAAUGUAAAACAUAUAAUUACUUGAAUAUAUUAUCCAAAUGAUUUUUUUGCCUAUAA